RNAcentral lists this ribosomal RNA (449 nucleotides) under Streptococcus mitis. Its description in RNAcentral is "bacterial SSU rRNA". It matches the Rfam family "Bacterial small subunit ribosomal RNA", at positions 28 to 464 of the family's 1533-position model. The record is from RNAcentral. Lineage: Bacteria; Bacillati; Bacillota; Bacilli; Lactobacillales; Streptococcaceae.
GACGAACGCUGGCGGCGUGCCUAAUACAUGCAAGUAGAACGCUGAAGGAGGAGCUUGCUUCUCUGGAUGAGUUGCGAACGGGUGAGUAACGCGUAGGUAACCUGCCUGGUAGCGGGGGAUAACUAUUGGAAACGAUAGCUAAUACCGCAUAAUAGCAGUUGUUGCAUGAUAACUGUUUGAAAGGUGCAAUUGCACCACUACCAGAUGGACCUGCGUUGUAUUAGCUAGUUGGUGGGGUAACGGCUCACCAAGGCGACGAUACAUAGCCGACCUGAGAGGGUGAUCGGCCACACUGGGACUGAGACACGGCCCAGACUCCUACGGGAGGCAGCAGUAGGGAAUCUUCGGCAAUGGACGGAAGUCUGACCGAGCAACGCCGCGUGAGUGAAGAAGGUUUUCGGAUCGUAAAGCUCUGUUGUAAGAGAAGAACGAGUGCGAGAAGUGGAAAG